UAUGGGCCUAAAGCRUCCGUAGCCGGCURAUAUAGUCCCCUGUUAAAUCCAACGAMUUAAUCGUUGGAYUGCGGGGGAUACUGCUUGGCUAGGGGMCGAGAGAGGCMGACGGUAUUUCCGGGGUAGGGGUGAAAUCCUAUAAUCCCGGGAGGACCACCAGUGGCGAAGGCGGUCUGCUAGAACGCGCCCGACGGUGAGGGRYGAAAGCUGGGGGAGCGAACCGGAUUAGAUACCCGGGUAGUCCCAGCUGUAAACGAUGCAGACUAGGUGUUUGGACGGCCACGUGCCGUUCUAGUGCCGCAGGGAAGCUGUUAAGUCUGCCGCCUGGGGAGUACGAUCGCAAGACUGAAACUUAAAGGAAUUGGCGGGGGA
Molecule: ribosomal RNA, 372 nt
Filed under: uncultured crenarchaeote
Lineage: Archaea; Thermoproteati; Thermoproteota
Description: partial 16S ribosomal RNA
Rfam family: Archaeal small subunit ribosomal RNA
Source: RNAcentral